UGCAGAAAACUAAAAACCGAAAAUAAAGUCCCAAAAUUAGUUCAAAGGUUCAAAAGUCUAGAAAAUUUAAUUACUAAUUAAAUUAAACCAUCUUAUGUGAGAAAAACCCAAUCCAAGCUGUCGAGACGCUGCUGAUCCCUAAUUUUGCAGAUUACUUGAAGAGAUAAAGUAAAUGAGUGAGCUAUGAAGUUCAGUGUGCGAUUUAACUCAAGCAUAAGUACAGAUAAUGUAAUAACCAUAUUAGAAUAUCAUAGAGAAUUUUAUAAUGAUUAAUUGAGCAAAAUUGAGAAUGCAUGAUUAUGUCAAUGCAGUAUUUUUCAAAAAAAAAUAUAAUGCAGAUUUUUCAAAAAUUUCCUACCCAACUCCGCUACACACCAAAUAGAGUUCCCCAAUACUCAUCCAUCCAAAACACACCAACAGAUAAUUGUGGUCAAUGCCAUCAGAGUCGUAGAUAAACUGCCAAAACAAAUAUAUAUGGUUAAACUACUAGAUAGUGCAGGUCAUUAAACUACCAGAACUUCCUUCUUACUAUAUCAUUCGCACCCCAUACAAUGUGACAUGGCACGCAAAUACAGAAUUAGAACAGUUAGCAAGUUGAUCAUGCAACCUUAUAAUAAACAGAAAUCAAUAGACAUAAAACUCCAUACUUUACAAAACAAAAGAAUCAAAUUCAAUAAUCACAAAUCAAUUUCGCCAUAAUGUCACAUGCUACUAAUACUAUCAAAUAUACAGAUCACAUAUAUAUACAAUUUAUUCAGAAAAUAUACACACAUAACAGAACAAAAGAUUACAUUGAUCGAUCCAUCAUAAAUAUCAUUCGUCAGAGUCUAUGUAAUCAUUAACCUCAAAUAUGCAAUCCAAAACUCAACCCUAAUUAAACUUAUUCAAAAUGGGCCCACAUGCCCGUGUGGCCUACACACCCUACCUGGCACAGCCCGUGUGGGCCACAUAGUCGAACACAUGCCCGUUUGGCUUACACGGCUUGCCACACGACUAGAAACACGAUCGUGUAGCAUCGACAAUUUCGGUUUUUCACUGUUUUACAAAAUUUUAAGUUAGCGCCACACACCUGAAUACUUUCGGGAUGUCGACAGAACAUCAACAUACCAAAAUUUGCCCAUAUGGCAUCCACAAUUAAUCAAGUAAUGAUCACUUAAAAAGAUUCAACCCUAACUUCCCUAGCAUUCGACGAAUAGCAAUAAGGCACUCGACCCUUUGUGAGCUAAAUUUUCGCAACCAGCCCCUAAACUUGGGCGUUAGAAACUUACCCUAGAAAAGAAGAUUAUCGAAUUCAACUCAUUGGAGGAAUAUGCAUCACACAACCUUUACCUAAACAGAAUUACACGAAAGAAAACGAUCAAAAUCUCCAUAACUGAACUCAACCAUCUAUCACAGCCUUCUUAGAAAAACCAAAAUAUAAUAGCACCCUAAACGAAUAAUGCUUUAUAAAAGAAAAGAAAAAACGACGAUCAUACCAACUCUCUUAUCUCACACGACCAGCAACAAAUCCAGAAGAAGCGACGACACCAGUCAGAAGAGUAACAAAAUAGAAGACAAAAGGAGCGACAAAAGAAAAAUCAAAGGGACUAAUGUGAAGAAUACAAAGAAAAAUGUGAGAGAGAUGAAGAAGUAAAAAGAAAAUUCCCAGUAACCAAAGAGAAAAACAGACGUGCAAGCAAAAUGGAGAAAGUGGAAAAUGGGGAGUUGGGAAAGUGAGGAAUGGCAAAAACAAAGGGUAAGCUAAGGCCUUACUAUUGAACUAGUAAGCUUAUUCUUGCCAGCAAAUUAACAAAAAUUAAAGAUAACCCUUACGAACCAAAUCAGGUAUGGAAUCAAAAUUAAUAAAGAAUUUUCUAAGGAAAAAAAUUGAACACAGAACCUCAAGCACACAACUAAAACACUUAACCAUUGAAUCAAAUUAAUUUACUUACCAUGAUUCCUACAACGUUAAUUCAAAAACAAUACGUGACCACUCUUGGUUCACUAACCCAAAUUCUACUAAUCUAAUUUUUAUUAUGUGAC
This 2022-nucleotide long non-coding RNA is filed under the name Gossypium barbadense (sea-island cotton). RNAcentral describes it as "long non-coding RNA (GBAR_LNC021749)". Lineage: Eukaryota; Viridiplantae; Streptophyta; Magnoliopsida; Malvales; Malvaceae. The record is from RNAcentral.